AUUGAGGCUUUGCAAUCGAAG
Molecule: microRNA, 21 nt
Filed under: Drosophila virilis
Lineage: Eukaryota; Metazoa; Arthropoda; Insecta; Diptera; Drosophilidae
Description: dvi-miR-9542d-5p
Source: miRBase by way of RNAcentral